Molecule: ribosomal RNA, 494 nt
Filed under: uncultured bacterium
Lineage: Bacteria
Description: partial 16S ribosomal RNA
Rfam family: Bacterial small subunit ribosomal RNA
Source: RNAcentral
GACGAACGCUGGCGGCGCGCUUAACACAUGCAAGUCGAACGGAAAGGCCUGCUUUCCCUUGUGGAUUGCGGGUACUCGAGUGGCUAACGGGUGAGUAGCACGUGAGUGAUCUGCCCCCAACUUGGGUAUAAGCCUGGGAAACUGGGUCUAAUUCCCGAUAGGACUGCAGGGUGGUGCCCGUGGUGGAAAACGAUUUUCUAGUGGUUGGGGAUGAGCUCGCGGCCUAUCAGCUUGUUGGUGGGGUAAUGGCCUACCAAGGCGGCGACGGGUAGCCGGCCUGAGAGGGUGGACGGCCACAUUGGGACUGAGAUACGGCCCAGACUCCUACGGGAGGCAGCAGUGGGGAAUAUUGCACAAUGGGCGGAAGCCUGAUGCAGCGACGCCGCGUGGGGGAUGACGGCCUUCGGGUUGUAAACUCCUUUCGACCGCGAGGAAGCCACCUGGUUGGAAGGGUGGUGACGGUAGUGGUAGAAGAAGCACCGGCUAACUACGUG